RNAcentral lists this ribosomal RNA (431 nucleotides) under Oomorphus concolor. RNAcentral's name for it is "partial 16S large subunit ribosomal RNA". It matches the Rfam family "Bacterial large subunit ribosomal RNA", at positions 1824 to 2523 of the family's 2925-position model. The record is from RNAcentral. Lineage: Eukaryota; Metazoa; Arthropoda; Insecta; Coleoptera; Chrysomelidae.
CGUUUUUUGUUAAUAAUUUAAGAUCGGACCUGCCCUAUGAUAUUUAAAUGGCCGCAGUAUUUUGACUGUGCUAAGGUAGCAUAAUCACUAGUUUUUUAAUUGGAAGCUUGUAUGAAAGGUUUGAUGAAAAAAUUACUGUCUCUGGAAGAAUUUGUUAUAAUUUUAUUUUUAAGUAAAAAAGCUUAAAUAAACUUAAAAGACGAGAAGACCCUAUAGAGUUUUAUAGUUAAUUUAAGUAGAAGGUUAUAGGAGUUAAAAUCUGCUUUUGUUAACUAUUUGGUUGGGGUGAUUAGAAAAUUUAUUUAACUUUUCUUGGCUAAUUUACACUGAUUAGUGAUUUUAAGAUCUUUAUUUUGAUUGUAAGAAUAAAUUACCUUAGGGAUAACAGCGUAAUCGCCUUUUAGAGUUCUUAUCGGAAAGGCGGGUUGCGA